RNAcentral lists this ribosomal RNA (216 nucleotides) under Glomeromycotina sp. RNAcentral describes it as "partial small subunit ribosomal RNA". The stretch from base 40 to 216 matches the Rfam family "Eukaryotic small subunit ribosomal RNA", at positions 686 to 864 of the family's 1831-position model. The record is from RNAcentral. Lineage: Eukaryota; Fungi; Glomeromycota.
GGGUCAGUAGGUUGGUCGUGCCACCGGUACGUACUGGUCUCUCUGAUUCCUCCUUCCUGAAGAACCGUAAUGCCAUUAAUUUGGUGUUGCGGGGAAACAGGACUGUUACUUUGAAAAAAUUAGUGUGUUUAAAGCAAGCUAACGCUUGAAUACAUUAGCAUGGAAUAAUGAAAUAGGACGAUCGAUCCUAUUUUGUUGGUUUCUAGGAUUGACGUA